This is an RNA transcript of Drosophila subpulchrella, 1540 nucleotides long. RefSeq lists it as uncharacterized. Lineage: Eukaryota; Metazoa; Arthropoda; Insecta; Diptera; Drosophilidae. The transcript has 4 exons. The record is from RefSeq and is a predicted model, not a curated record.
CUGUGCCGAGGAAGGCACGUACUUCCUUCAUGGAUUUCGGGUAAGGCAUCUUCUGGAUUGCCGAAACACGUCCAGGAUCCAUCCGCAGCAGUCCAUCUCCGACUAUAAACCCUAGACUGUGGGCUACUCGACUCAAGUAUUUCAAGUGCGUCUGAAAAUCUGGAGCGAGGAUUAGCAGGUCGUCCAAAUAGACGAAAACGUUGGAUCUGAGCUCUGCUGGUAUCACCCGAUCCGGCAUCAUUCGGAACUUGUACAACGGCCUGCCUGGAACCGUGAACGCAGUGUACUCCUUGCUUUUCUCACCCAGUUCGAUCUGCCAGAACGCAAACUUCAGGUCAACUCUGGAGAUGAAAUGCGUCUGAUCUAUUCUGGAGAGGAUUCCCUCAGUGCUGGGCAGAGGGUAUGCAUCCUUAAUAGUCAAGGCGUUCAACUUCCGGGCAUCCAGGCAGAACCUGUUUUUCCCUGGCUUCGACACCACUGUUGUGCGAUUACUCCACGGGCUUUUGCUCUCCUCGAUGACACCCAGCUCCAACAUCUUGUCGAUUUCAUCUUCGACCACCUUCUGCUUCGCCGGAGACAUCGGAUACGGACGAUCCUUAAAGACCCGAGCUCCUUCCAUCAGCUCAAUGGAAUGCCUCUCCACGCUGGUGACUCCGAGGCCGUCCCUUUCAAAGGCAGCUCCAAGCGUCCGAUAAUGGAUCGAUCCUCGCCAGAAGCCGUCCGGACUACCGAAAAAUACGGUUGGACGGUAACUCCCAGCGUCUCCACGAGCUCUCGACAGCCUUUGCCCAGCACACUUACGCUGGCGCCUGUAUCCAACAAGUCGGUGAGCUGCUUCCCCAAGGUCUCCACGUCGGCGAAGGGUCGAGGAUCGGCGGAAUCAAUGCGUUUAACGGCCGCCACCACCUCUCGUCGUCUGGAUCACCUUAUCCUGAAGCGCUCACUUGCUUCUGGACUACCUCCGGUAGGUAUCUUAGCAAAUACUUAUGACUACUAUAUUGGCUGUGUACGUUCCUGCUUUCGUCUUCUACCUUCGGAACUACUUCGCGGGAUUCCAACCUGGGCGAGUCCCUCCCGCUUUCGGACUGCCCAGCCGACCGUUUUCCGCGCAAUCGGGACAUUUCGGAGAAAUCACGCCCGGCUUGCCGCACCGGCAACAGAAUCUCCUCCACUCCGUGGCCUCGCAAUCCUGGAAUCCGUGCUCCGCAGCCCCGCAAUUCCAGCAACCUGGCCUGACCGGAUUUCGGACUCGCCCACGUAGCUCGUCCACUUCCAGGUUUCGCUGCUCGUCGACUUCGUCCUGUACGUGCGCCUCGCUGACCCGUAACCUGCUCUGCUGCAAGUAAGCAGCACGCCCUCGACGAGCGAAACUCCUUUCUACUUCGACGCACUCCUCCCGAAAUUCGUCCACCGCGUGAGGCGAGUUGCUGCAUCGAAUGGAUGUAGUCAUCCGCGCUCUCUCCCGGCUGUUGCUCACGUUGCAGAAGCUCAUGCAUCCUUUCGUGUUCCGUCUGGUGACCACGGAACCGAUCCAUCAGAG